This 904-nucleotide long non-coding RNA is filed under the name Gallus gallus (chicken). RNAcentral's name for it is "lncRNA (ENSGALG00010009669.1)". The record is from RNAcentral. Lineage: Eukaryota; Metazoa; Chordata; Aves; Galliformes; Phasianidae.
AUUUAAGGGCUGACUGCUGCUGAAGAAGGAUCUUUCUCUGGAGAUUGCUCCUCUUGGUGUCUUUUUGAUUCCCUGAAGCGUAGAGGUGGUGUGACCAGUGACACUGGAACAAGAACCAGUGUAAUUAAAUUUUAUUGCCCCUGGAGCCCUUUUAUUCCUCUCAGCAUCUAGUUACUGUGAAAACAGAGGAACGGUUAUGGGCUGGAAGGAGUGUUUUCUAACAGAAUCACAGAAUGAUGGGUUGGAAGAAACCUCAAGAGACCAUCAAGUCCAACCUGCUGCCAAAGCAGAUACCCUACAGUUGGUCACACAGGUUAAAAAAAUAAUAAAAAAAAUUGAAAUGAAAACAGUUCUUACAAUGGCUCAAAUCAGGAAGAUGUUUUCAGGAGACACUUACUUAGUACAGGACCCACAGGUGUCAAGGACUGUGCUUCAGUGACUGCUGAUGCUCGGCCACAGUGAGACUUCUAGAGCAAAUGCCUCUUUAAAGUCAGUCAGCUUAAGGAUGGGAGACCCACUGUGGCAAGUUAGAUGACACGUAUUUGACUUUGUGGGGUCAAACUGCCUCGUUUCACGUGUUACAAGAAGCAAAGUUAGGAUCCCCUCCUGGGACCCCUUGUACUCAAUGGAGAGAUGGGGCGAUUGCGCUCCCUGCAGCUGGAGCAAUUUGGGGCUCUGAGGUUUCCUGGUGCCUCUCUUCUGUUGGCUUCAGAGCAAAUGGAGAGAUGAACUUCCCAGCAUGGAAGUGACACAGCAGUUUAGGUUCUUGAAGUCCACGUGUGUGCUUUUGUCUUUCCGCUCCCCUGAAUACUACAAAACUCAGAAAAGUAUUUUUAUCGUUCCAAAGAUAUCUAUCUCUUUGUGUUGGCCUUCACUAAGUAUAAUUUAAAUUGUAAUUUAAAGA